CAUCGUUGCAGGACAUACAGUGACAGUGACCUCAGGGGUCUGGGAAAUGUUCCCUACUGUAUGUUGUACAGCUGGGGGAAAAAAACAACAGGCAUGUAAGAGCACACCGUCAGAAGAACCUCCACCCAAAACUUGCUUCAGAAGUGGCAGUGCUAGCCACUGAGCAAACCUGCCCUUCACCUCAACUGCUGCCAAGACCCUCUUCAGACCGUGGACAACUGACUGCCUGGAGUUGCCUAGACAAACUCCUACUCCACAGGGUCUUCUGAAGCAUGGCAGGCCUACGCCUUCCAGCUGAAGACUUGGAUGUUACCCUAACACCUCUGCUCUCAAUGACCACAGAGGACCCCGGGGUAGCUGUCUGGGCAGCCAGCAACUCCUUGACAGGUCCAAGAGGCACGGACAGCUCCACAGAGCCUGGGGAGUGUGCACAAAGUUACUGAAUGCCGUCCUGGAGAGAGCCCUUCGGUAGCACCCUCCGUAUGUUCCCACCAGAUGCUGUGCAAUAAUUGUGGCCACAUACUCUAUCCUGAAUUCAAGAAAUGACCUUUAAAAUUAAAGGAGCUCUCGAGUAUCAAGAAACAAGAAUCUUAGAAGAGAGUUUGAUAGGCCACACUGGGAAACAGGAUGAGCAGGUCCACGAGAGCCUUGUGCUAUGACACUUCAGAGAGGGUCUACUGCAAAACGAGGCCACACCGCUCCUUAUACCUCCAGCGUCAGUACCAGCAGACUUUGCAGAAAGCACCUGUCCUUUACAUUUGUUCUUGCCAUGCUGAGAACUUUGGCUUGCACUUCCUGCCGUCACCCAGACUGUUCCUCUGCCAUGACAUCAUCCAUUACUAAAGGAACCUCAAACAUUGUGCUGCACUUUGUAGAUGAGAAUAAAUGUCUCCUCUAUUGGAGACUGAGAACAGAACCCUGAAAGCAUCUGCCGAUUGCUUUGUCCCUUCCUGACCAGCCAGCAAGUGGCUUUCUUUCCUGGCAUUUUCUGUACAGUGAGUGAAGGCAGGUCCUGACAGCUGUGUCAGACGCACACUGUUUACUGUGCCUGUGUUUACAUCAGCCUUGUCUAUAUUGACAGCAAACAUCAUAGGGAGGGGAAGAAAGCUUG
RNAcentral lists this long non-coding RNA (1111 nucleotides) under Cricetulus griseus (Chinese hamster). RNAcentral describes it as "lncRNA (ENSCGRG00015036137.1)". Lineage: Eukaryota; Metazoa; Chordata; Mammalia; Rodentia; Cricetidae. The record is from RNAcentral.